GUGGGGAAUCUUCGGCAAUGGGCGCAAGCCUGACCGAGCCAUGCCGCGUGAGCGAUGAAGGCCUUAGGGUUGUAAAGCUCUUUCGCCAGGGAUGAUAAUGACAGUACCUGGUAAAGAAACCCCGGCUAACUCCGUGCCAGCAGCCGCGGUAAUACGGAGGGGGUUAGCGUUGUUCGGAAUUACUGGGCGUAAAGCGCGCGUAGGCGGAUUGGAAAGUUGGGGGUGAAAUCCCGGGGCUCAACCUCGGAACUGCCUCCAAAACUCCCAGUCUUGAGUUCGAGAGAGGUGAGUGGAACUCCGAGUGUAGAGGUGAAAUUCGUAGAUAUUCGGAAGAACACCAGUGGCGAAGGCGGCUCACUGGCUCGAUACUGACGCUGAGGUGCGAAAGUGUGGGGAGCAAACAGGAUUAGAUACCCGGGUAGUCC
Molecule: ribosomal RNA, 425 nt
Filed under: uncultured Roseobacter sp.
Lineage: Bacteria; Pseudomonadati; Pseudomonadota; Alphaproteobacteria; Rhodobacterales; Roseobacteraceae
Description: bacterial SSU rRNA
Rfam family: Bacterial small subunit ribosomal RNA
Source: RNAcentral